Molecule: long non-coding RNA, 316 nt
Organism: Cyprinodon tularosa
Lineage: Eukaryota; Metazoa; Chordata; Actinopteri; Cyprinodontiformes; Cyprinodontidae
Exons: 3
Source: RefSeq, a predicted model, not a curated record
AAGAAGAAGAAGCUGCAGCAGCGAUGCGCUGAUAUGUAUGAUUCUAGGAGGGACAGGAAAGUAAUGAGAGAUAAUCGACGUCUGCAGAUCAUUAGAUUGGCUGAUCAACUUCUGGCUUCAUCAUUAGAGACUCCCCAGACUUGAUCAUCACUGUGACCGUUUGGGGAGAUGAUGCAUACGGCAGCGGGCUGGUCGACGGCUUUGUUGGAGACUGAGCGACCGUUGAAAACCCUUUAGUUUCCAUUAAAGAUCCAGAGAAAGGAGACUGCUUCUGCCCUACUAUACCAAGGUAAGAACAUUUAAACUAAACAUGACC